UUUUCGUGUAAGGGAUGUUAACUGAAAUUUUGAUCUCGCUUCCGCAUUUGAUAUAUUUAAAUACUUAUUUCAUUUUAAUAUUUCCGGGGCCGUUACAGUUGGUAUCAGAGCCGCGUUUCCUCGGACCCAUCCCUUACACUAUAGUCCUUUAAAGAAAUACUCACCGAUUGGUCGUUACUCAACCAUUCCUUGUAAAUGCAAGUACACAGAAAUGAGGAGAGGAAGGCCCCCACUAAACCGAGCGGCCCAAGAUAAUUCGCUUCGGGAGGAUUUGGACAGAUUAUAUGAGAUGGUGGAAGCUCUCGUAGCUGCCCAGCGAAGGCAAGAGGAGAGAAGGGAGUUACCCGGACCUCCUCCGCUAGCGCAGGUUGAGCCCCCGUUACAGCAGGCUGAUCCCGAG
Molecule: long non-coding RNA, 400 nt
Filed under: Carica papaya (papaya)
Lineage: Eukaryota; Viridiplantae; Streptophyta; Magnoliopsida; Brassicales; Caricaceae
Description: long non-coding RNA (CPAP_LNC001525)
Source: RNAcentral